This 479-nucleotide long non-coding RNA is filed under the name Mytilus galloprovincialis (Mediterranean mussel). The record is from RNAcentral. Lineage: Eukaryota; Metazoa; Mollusca; Bivalvia; Mytilida; Mytilidae.
AUGGAUUUUAUGUCGAAACUUUAUUAUUUGCGAAUUGCUUUUUUUAAGCGUUCGAUGAUUGGCCAAAUCUUUUUUUCCGUCUUUUGAAAUAUGUUAAUUUAUCUUGUGUCACAUGAAAUGAAAAUCGGAUUGGAAAAUCUACCUGUGGAACUAGAUCUGCACACUCUACCGAUACAGAUGAGAUUGCACCGGUUUUUCAUUGGGUUGGUCUGCUCACUCUACCGAUGCAGAUGAGAUUGUACCGGUUCUCGUUGGGUUGGUUUUGCCAAGUUUUUAGUUUUCUAUGUUAUGUUUUGAAGACUGUUGUUUGUCUUUUAUAGAUAUAGAAAGAUGUGGUGUGAGUGCCAAUGAGACAACUCUCUAUCCAAAUAACAAUUUUAAAAAGUAAACCAUUAUAGGUAAAUGUACACGGAGCCUUGGCUCACACCGAACAACAAGCUAUAAAGGGCCCCAAAAUUACUUGUGUAAAACCAUUCAAA